Megalopta genalis is the source of this 595-nucleotide long non-coding RNA. RefSeq lists it as uncharacterized. Lineage: Eukaryota; Metazoa; Arthropoda; Insecta; Hymenoptera; Halictidae. The record is from RefSeq and is a predicted model, not a curated record.
CAAAACAAAACUGCUGUUGUAAAAGUGAGAUACGAACACUUUCGUAUCGUAUAUUUAACCCUUUGCACUCCGCUGUCCCCUCUCGUGGGACAUCGUAAUUCUAGCUAUAUCUAUAGUUAUAUCUAAUCUAGCUAUAUCUAGCUAGUCAAAAAUCACAGUUACUUGUAAUAAUCAGUCGCUUCACGGACACCGCAAGCGCAAAAAGUUACGAUCUGAACGACCCUUUCCGAAUAACAAUGGCGGCAGUUAAUUACAUUCUAGUACGAGGUCGUUCGUUAAUUCCAGAAUACUUUGAAGGGUGUGAUGUCUUUGGCUUGGAUGCUAACGAUGUUUCCAGUUUGACUACAUCGUGUAUAAAAAUGAUAAACAACAGAGAGGAACACGGUUCAUCCUUCGGUGACUACAAGAUUUCAGGUUCAUCAUCAUUUGAGGUCAUAAACUGCCUGGCAAGGACGGGUUAUCGAGUUAUCAGUAGUACUCCAGAAUCAGGGUAUACAAUGUUGUGGAUGCUGAAGAAAGGCCUGUGAAAAAGAUCAAAACAAUGAUUGUUUAGAACUGUUUUAUUUCAUAAUAUAGAUACACUUUCAUAGCAGUA